GAGGAUGUAGCUCAGUGGUAGAGCACAUACCUCGCAUGCACGAGGUCCAGGGUUCAAUUCCCAGUACCUCCA
RNAcentral lists this transfer RNA (72 nucleotides) under Camelus bactrianus (Bactrian camel). It matches the Rfam family "tRNA". Rfam says of the family: Transfer RNA (tRNA) molecules are approximately 80 nucleotides in length. Their secondary structure includes four short double-helical elements and three loops (D, anti-codon, and T loops). RNAcentral also lists the same sequence under 2 other names. The record is from Rfam by way of RNAcentral. Lineage: Eukaryota; Metazoa; Chordata; Mammalia; Artiodactyla; Camelidae.